AGCGAGCCCAACCUCCCACCCGUGUUUACUGUACCUUAGUUGCUUCGGCGGGCCCGCCAUUCAUGGCCGCCGGGGGCUCUCAGCCCCGGGCCCGCGCCCGCCGGAGACACCACGAACUCUGUCUGAUCUAGUGAAGUCUGAGUUGAUUGUAUCGCAAUCAGUUAAAACUUUCAACAAUGGAUCUCUUGGUUCCGGCAUCGAUGAAGAACGCAGCGAAAUGCGAUAACUAGUGUGAAUUGCAGAAUUCCGUGAAUCAUCGAGUCUUUGAACGCACAUUGCGCCCCCUGGUAUUCCGGGGGGCAUGCCUGUCCGAGCGUCAUUGCUGCCCAUCAAGCACGGCUUGUGUGUUGGGUCGUCGUCCCCUCUCCGGGGGGGACGGGCCCCAAAGGCAGCGGCGGCACCGCGUCCGAUCCUCGAGCGUAUGGGGCUUUGUCACCCGCUCUGUAGGCCCGGCCGGCGCUUGCCGAACGCAAAUCAAUCUUUUUCCAGGUUGACCUCGGAUCAGGUAGGGAUACCCGCUGAACUUAAGCAUAUC
Molecule: ribosomal RNA, 535 nt
Filed under: Aspergillus sp. DY115-21-12-M9
Lineage: Eukaryota; Fungi; Ascomycota; Eurotiomycetes; Eurotiales; Aspergillaceae
Description: eukaryotic LSU rRNA
Rfam family: 5.8S ribosomal RNA (bases 166-319)
Source: RNAcentral